RNAcentral lists this ribosomal RNA (253 nucleotides) under uncultured bacterium. RNAcentral describes it as "partial 16S ribosomal RNA". It matches the Rfam family "Bacterial small subunit ribosomal RNA", at positions 524 to 776 of the family's 1533-position model. The record is from RNAcentral.
UACGUAGGGGGCAAGCGUUGUCCGGAUUUAUUGGGCGUAAAGAGCGUGUAGGCGGCCAGGUAGGUCUGCUGUGAAAACUCGAGGCUCAACCUCGAGACGUCGGUUGAAACCGUAAGGCUAGAGUCCGGAAGAGGAGAGUGGAAUUCCCGGUGUAGCGGUGAAAUGCGCAGAUAUCGGGAAGAACACCCGUGGCGAAGGCGGCUCUCUGGGACGGUACUGACGCUGAGACGCGAAAGCGUGGGGAGCGAACAGG